RNAcentral lists this long non-coding RNA (4051 nucleotides) under Fragaria vesca (wild strawberry). Its description in RNAcentral is "long non-coding RNA (FVES_LNC002097)". Lineage: Eukaryota; Viridiplantae; Streptophyta; Magnoliopsida; Rosales; Rosaceae. The record is from RNAcentral.
UUUGAUCAGCAAGCUACAUGUACUUCCUGAUCAUAUUAUUCGUAUCACACUGUUAGGGUUUUACCCCUAACUGGGAAGAAACUACAACUAAGAAAUGAAAACAAAGAAAUGAAAUACUGAUUUUUCUUCGAUAAGGAGCAACAGCUCAACGAGCAGUACAUAUAGGCUAUAGAAAGGAGCACAUGCGCAGCACGUGAGUACAUGAAUCUUAAAAUCAUAACAAUCCAUCCCCAUUAAGCAAACUUGACCUCAAGUUUCAAAUAAGACACAUACAAGCAGUCACAAAUGAUAAGGUCCAUGUUCUUAAAAUCUUGCUCAAAUGCCUCUUCUUCCAUACCAAGUGAAAUAAAGAUCACUUCAGAGCUCUCUCCCUUUGCGUUUAGCUUCCCAUAAAAAUAUGAAUCUGUUGCACUUGGUGGCAAACUGAGACCUUGGGAAUCUUUGCACAAUGCAUCAGUGUUCUCAGUUUUCAAGUCCUUUGUAACAUCCCUAAUCACUUGCCCAGUACCUCUCAUCUCAGAAUAGGCUGAUUCCAAGAAUAGUUUACUGAACUAAUACCCAACCUCUGCUGAAAUUAUAAUUAGUUCAAAUUGCAACUCAAAGCAAUACUAAUCACUUCCUUGAUAUGUAGGAUUUUCUGCAGAUUCAGCUAUACAAGAGUCGGCAACAAUGGUAACAUAGGUAAUGAAUUUCACUGUAAGCAAGUUGAUAAUCUCAAACCUGAAUUUCAGAGUACCAUAAUCACCCUGCAUUAUUUCCUUGCAAGUCCCAUUUGCUUCCCAUGAAUGCAAUUUAUACAGAUUAAGGCAUCUCAGUAGUGAUCCAUGUUCUGUUACAAUGCCACCCCAUUUUUUAUCAUGCAAGAAACCAUGCUCACCACAGAUCCCAUCCAUCCGAGACUUAUACUUCCCAAUCACUAGAAGCACUUCAGGGUGACUCACCUCGUCAGCAAUCAUAUCCCAUCUUGCUGCCUUACUAAUCAAUUUUCCACAAACAUAUGAAGAGGCCGCAAUUGAAGUAGAAUUUAAAGAUUCAACAUAUUUAGCUAGUACAGAUAAAAUCACAGAAUACGAGUCAUGUUUAAUAUCUUUAGUCGAAUGCCAACCGACAAAAGCAUGGUCAUGCUCCAACACCCAUAAUCUCACUAUACCAUCAACAAGGGCAAGCAAUAGAACAUAUGAACUACCUGGUAUUACCUUUCCGAAGAAAGCAACAAGAAUGGUCUUUGAGUUCAUGAGUAUGGCGACUCCAACUCCUUGAUCACGUACAAUGGAGCUUAGCAAAAUUAGAGCCAUUUGAAUAGGCAAGUGUGUCCAGACUCCAAAUGAUUUUGCUGUACUUAGGGAAUUGAACAGUAGAUUGCAUAGUAGCUAGUAAGGAAAGGAACCACAAUUCAGCGUUGAAGUCCUCAAAGCACACUCCAAAUCCAUCUGGAGAGCUAGUAAAGCUACUACUAUCUGAAUUACUGAAGUGCUGAACAACUUCAAUAGCAGCCUUCGCCAACAAAUCAUCUGACAAACGUGAAGCAAGAGAUGCAGCGCAAGACUUAGUUUUCUUCCUCAUGAUGACUUGAUUAGAGCUCCACUGAGAUAAAAGAGCACCUAAUGAAAGCUUAUGGUAGGUUGCCAUAACAUUGCCAAACUUAUCAAGGACAUCAAAUAAGGACUCAAGACAUUCACAUAGUAUCUUUGUGCUCAUUCCCGAUGCAAUAACUCCUUUAUUGAACAGCAGUAAAAUAGACAUGACAUCAGAGAAGAAUAGAAGCCAUAAUAACUUAAGGCCUUCACAAAACUUGUCUGAGAUGCCUCCUUGUUUCAACUUGUCCUCAGUAGUAGGCCAACUCUGCAACUGUAGUGGUUUUAAAAGUGGUAACAACACCAACUUUAAAACUACAAAACAAUCCCUUUCCUGAAAACAAGAAGCACAUGAAUAAUUUUGAUCGACUAUCGUGGCUUCCUUAUCUUCCCUCCUUGAGAAAAUUCUUUCCCAUACUCCCAACACAACAAGUAAAGAUUCAACAUGCAACUCUUCAGUACCACUCUCAUUUUUUAUAGCAAUACUAUGAAUUUCCAUCUCUCCCAAUUGCCAUCAAACAUCUGUUUUACAAUUCUGUCCCUUUCUCCCACUUCUCAGCAAGACACAAGCUCAUUUCUCCAAAUUAAUCUCAAGACGUAAGCACAACAUAUUACCAUUCGAACAGGCAUUCAGAGUGCAAGCAAGUGUAGGAACUUUCCUUUUGCAAUGACAAAGCUGCAAGGAAAGAAUAAACCAUUGCACUAAUCUUGCCUGAGAUUGUGUUUUGGCAAUAACUCUUGAUUUCCACUUCUUUAAUAAUAACUCCAGUACCCUUUUAGAAUGUGCUUGUAUGUUCUCAUAGUUAUCAUCCACAAUAUCAGUUGGUUUAUUCAUCACAAGAACAAAUGCAGUCCUGAACUCAGAUUGGACAAGCUUUAGUGCACCAGAACUCACCCACACAUUGUUACAUAUAUCCUUGGUAAGCAAUGUGAUAGAUGAACCAUCAGAUUUAGUUGGAACAUGCAGAAUCAAGGUCUUGUUUCCAGCAAGAUUGGCACCAGCUUUACGAACAUAAAGAGAUACUGCUGAUAUAGCAUUUUCUCCGAGCUCUUGUUUGCACCAACCCCAUUCAUUUCUAAAUCUCUCAAGCUGUUGAACCAUAUAAUUGUCAACUAGGAUUUGUUCCACCGGAUCAUUCUCAAUCAAGGCAGGUCCAAUUAUGUCGUUCACAUUCCCUGCAACCGCAAGGACACCUUUCCCAAAAUAAUCCAAUUUGCAAUCUCCAAACUCCAUGAAUCCAUGGACACCUGUGAGAGCUUCACUUGGCGCAAGAGCUCUAGCCGUUUUAUCUUUCAAACCGAAGUUUCUAGAAACCACAGAAGGCUUGUAGUCCAAGUGAGCAGUAGUUUUCUUGUCUGGCAAUUGAAAAUACUCAUAGACAAUUGCACAAUGAGUUGCGAGACCCCCACCUUUGUCUCUAAUGCCCAUAUAGCCAACACUCAUCUUUCCUGCAUUACACAACUCCUUUGACUUGGACAUUUCAUCAAGCAGGUGGAGUGCAUCGCAUUCUCUCCCAUUUUCACCCAAAUUCGGUCCUGAACAAAAGGAUGCAUGAGUGUUGUUCGAUAUAGCCGAAACGACAUCGUCAAGGAGAGGAGGCGCAACUGAGCUCUGGACCCUCAAAUUUGUCUUGAAUGCGAGCUUGCGCAUCAAAAGCUUAUUACGUUGCAGAAACUUGCACUUCUUCACUCCUCCAGUGGCUGGAAUCGACUUGCUAGAGGCUUGUUUGGUACGAGACAUUGAGAUAUUGGCAACUGAAAGAGAUUGAGCGUCACCCAGAUGAGACGGCUUGGAGGUGGGUUGUGGCCGCAUUGGGGAGCAUAUCUUGGGCUCUGAGCUCUGGAUUUUGGGAGUGUGAGUCGGCGGAGGAACAUCAUCUAGCAACGAGGGCGAUGAACCUUCAGACGACUGUAUCCCCUUCAUACAUUUAGACAUGCAAGCAUCCCACAAUCUACUCACAGAUUCUAGGAACUCGCUCACCUUUGCAUCUGAGAAAUUGAACUCAGUGUUUAGAAUCAGUGAUUGGGACCUCUGAAUCAAUUUGCAGUGGAAUUGAACAAGGAUGAAGAUCAGGCUCAGCCUGCCUUGGGUAUGCAAUUGGAGGUGAUGGCUCAUGAGCGGUAUGUGGUGGAACAAACUGGUUUGUGGGAAUGAAAUGAUGCAGAGUAUGUGGGUAGCUUUGUUGGUAAGGAUGAUACGCAUACGCGGGGUAAGGGUUAGGCGGUGGUGAUAGGUGAUAGCUCGGUGGUGGUGGGUGAUAGCCCGGCGAGAAAAAUGGCAGAUCCCACUGUUGCGGAGGUGACGAGAACUGCACUGAGUGGUAUGGGUACUGGUUUGAGUACCACGACGGCGGUUCAACGCCGUAAGGCAGAGACGCCGGUUGCCCAGCUCCCAGAUUCAUGGCUCUGGAUACCAAUUGUUAGGGUUUUACCCCUAACUGGGAAGAAACUACAACUAAGAAAUGAAAUACUGAUUU